UGUUGUUUUACAGGGUCAGUAGUAUGAUAGGUGUUGUUUUACAGGGUCAGUAGUAUGAUAGGUGUUGUUUUACAGGGUCAGUCAUAGUAGUAUGAUAGGUGUUGUUUUACAGGGUCAGUCAUAGUAGUGUGAUAGGUGUUGUUUUACAGGGUCAGUCAUAGUAGUAUGAUAGGUGUUGUUUUACAGGGUCAGUCAUAGUAGUAUGAUAGGUGUUGUUUUACAGGGUCAGUCAUAGUAGUAUGAUAGGUGUUGUUUUACAGGGUCAGUCAUAGUAGUAUGAUAGGUGUUGUUUUACAGGGUCAGUCAUAGUAGUAUGAUAGGUGUUGUUUUACAGGGUCAGUCAUAGUAGUAUGAUAGGUGUUGUUUUACAGGGUCAGUCAUAGUAGUAUGAUAGGUGUUGUUUUACUGGGUCAGUCAUAGUAGUAUGAUAGGUGUUGUUUUACAGGGUCAGUCAUAGUAGUAUGAUAGGUGUUGUUUUACAGGGUCAGUCAUAGUAGUAUGAUAGGUGUUGUUUUACAGGGUCAGUCAUAGUAGUAUGAUAGGUGUUGUUUUACAGGGUCAGUCAUAGUAGUACGAUAGGUGUUGUUUUACAGGGUCAGUCAUAGUAAUAUGAUAGGUGUUGUUUUACAGGGUCAGUCAUAGUAGUGUGAUAGGUGUUGUUUUACAGGGUCAGUCAUAGUAGUAUGAUAGGUGUUGUUUUACAGGGUCAGUCAUAGUAGUAUGAUAGGUGUUGUUUUACAGGGUCAGUCAUAGUAGUAUGAUAGGUGUUGUUUUACAGGGUCAGUCAUAGUAGUAUGAUAGGUGUUGUUUUACAGGGUCAGUCCCAGUAGUGUGAUAGGUGUUGUUUUACAGGGUCAGUCAUAGUAGUAUGAUAGGUGUUGUUUUACAGGGUCAGUCCCAGUAGUGUGAUUGGUGUUGUUUUACAGGGUCAGUCAUGGUAGUAUGAUAGGUGUUGUUUUACAGGGUCAGUCAUAGUAGUAUGAUAGGUGUUGUUUUACAGGGUC
This is a long non-coding RNA of Oncorhynchus keta (chum salmon), 1004 nucleotides long. RefSeq lists it as uncharacterized. NCBI's taxonomy places the organism in Eukaryota, Metazoa, Chordata, Actinopteri, Salmoniformes, Salmonidae. The record is from RefSeq and is a predicted model, not a curated record. The transcript has 3 exons.